Long non-coding RNA from Astatotilapia calliptera (eastern happy), 2983 nucleotides. NCBI's taxonomy places the organism in Eukaryota, Metazoa, Chordata, Actinopteri, Cichliformes, Cichlidae. The record is from Ensembl.
UUGCCCCCUUUUUUGUUUCCUUCUUUCACAAAACAUUACCUCAGUCCUCUGCGUCUGAACUCUUUAUGACCCCGGAGUGAAAUGUGACUAUAGGGUUUCAGAAAGCGGAGUGAGCAACUCAAAUACUUGUAAAAGUUUCGCGACUAACUGUAAAUUCUUCAGCUCCAAAGCCUCAUUUUCCCCUCCACCGAUUCUCGGAGCCUGGUGUCAGAGGGUUAGUAAAGGGUGGAGGGGAGAGAGAGCGAGAGAGAGAGAGCGAGGAGACCAAGACAAAACGUAACCGCGGCUUCCCCCCCCCUCACAGGCUCGGUAUGAAAUAUGCUGCCCUCUAGCGACACCUGGCGGCCACAGCGAAUUCCGAGCCGUCGAGAGAUUUGCCACAAAGGCAAGAAGGCCCACAAAAUACGCCAAUCUUAAUUAAGCACAUUAACACGAAAUAAAUCCCCAGAAAAAUGACCACGCAAAUGUGUUUUAAAAUUAAAAUUAAAGGUAGCUCCAUUAAACUGUUUAUUCUUGAGGUACCGGAGGUCAUAAAUCAAAAACUGAACUUUAUAAAAUGCCUUGUUUUUGUUUUACUGAUUUAAUCUAAAUAGUGCACGCAUUUUUUUAUAAUCUGCCAUUUGUUUUCUUGUGGUGCUUCAAAAAUAAAUUAAGUUCAAAUGUCUGCGCCCUUUAUAUUUGAUUCUAUUAUAAGACGGUCACUGUGUGACACAAAAGAGGAAAAAAAAGUUGGCCUUUAUCAGCCCUAGCCUGCAUUUAAUUUAAGGCACCGCGUAUAUUUUGUGUUAUUGAGUUUAUCUGAUUUUUUAUUUGUUUCUUUUUUUUAGCCAAUUUUGAAAUCAAUUCUGCAGCCACAUAAAUCUAAAUAAACUGGACAAAGAAAACCAACAGCACUUAAUAAGAACGCUCACGUGCUUAUUUUAAUAAUAAUCUGAAAAUCCGGGUUUUUUCUGUUAUGAGCGAUUUUGAAAUAAACUAAUAAACAAAUUCAACGUUUUACAGGCUUUUACGCAAGAAAGGCACAAGAAAGUCAGCAAAUCGAUUCACAUCACGAUUCUGGAAACAACCUCAGCACCUAAAAAACUAUUUAUAAAAUAUUAAUGCUGGAAAGUGAUUUAGUUUUUAUUCUUCUUUUUACAGGAAAAAAAAUCUUUCACGUAUAAAAUUAUAUAUUGAUGUAUUUCCCCAACGCAUUUUCCCCAUACAUUUAUAAAAAAAAAAUUCCUUUCCCCCCCUUAUCAAACUACCCAAACUACUAAUAUUUCCCCUCCUCAGUGCGUGCAGCCGCUCUGCAGAGAGAGUCUCAGCUCUGCUCGGCUGUGACACAGUUUGAGCAGGUCACUGCCGAGAUUAGAGCCCGUCGUUAACGCCUGCUCGGAUACACCAAAUGCUGAUUUAAUGAGCUUGCAUUGGGUGUUUGUCCAAGAAUACCUGGUGUGCAUGCGUUAGUAACGCCACAGACCGUAAUCCCUGUGUUUUCCCCUGAACACGUGGCUUUAGGGGCAACCUAAAAACACUGCAAAGAUUUGACUAUGAUUUCUUUUUCAUUUCUUUCAUUUUAUUUUAUUUCAGUCUUCCUGAACAGGUCGAAGCCUCUAAGUCCCGUAUCCAGCCACAUUACCACAUGUAAUUGAGAGAAGUUUAAGUGGAGGCCGGGAAACCGAGGAGUUAAUAGCGGUGACCCUCUUGCUGUGCCUCUGUCGCUCAUCAUUUAUCAGGCUUAAGGGGCUUAAACAGGCGACGCAGACCCACCUUUUAUUACAUAUCAAACCCUCUCUCCCUUAUCUGCAUUAUAGGAAAUACAUGCAUCGUUGGCCGUUAUGCGGAUUUGGAAAUAGAAACACGUCCAAUAAAGUCGCCCUCCUCCGCUGAUCAGAGGAAACGUGUCUUUAGGCGCCACAGAGACACCCCAGCGGUUUAAGUCUUUAUUAAAUUAUCUUAAUUCCCCUCUCCACUUUGAAACGAAUAUAAAUGCGGCUCUUCUGUUGUUUGUCCAGCGCGGAAGAGAGGAAACGUGAGUGCGGAGGUCCGCCACGGUUCAAGAUUAGGAGGCGAAUAAAACUGUAAAUGCAGACUCCAAGCGCCUGCAAACCUGCCCAGAGCGGAUAUAACGUGCACGACGUUAAAACUCGAGUGUGGCAGAUUUUUCUCUUUCCCUUUUUUAAAUUUAGAUGUCAAAAUAUAAAAUAUCACAAAUAUAAAUAUAUAUUUGUGUGUGUGUGUACACAGGUGGCAGCUGCUUUAUUGGAAAAAUUAAUUAAAGGUGAGAAAAAGGCAAAAAACUUCCCCAAGACAAGAUAUAUUUAGAGGCUCACGUGACUUCCGUCAUUCUUCUUUAUUUAUAGCGAGCUUUAAUGAAUUAGUACACAGGCAAACCAUUACAAUACCUGCUCCCUUUAUCCGGUCACGGCUUUUCUUGAGAUUUGUGGCGCGCGUGUGUGUAGAAAAAAAAUGCAUUUAUUACUUAAAAUUCUACCGAUAAAAAUCCUCUUUAAUAUUCCGGCAUCCCUAUAGGAAACGGAUUAAUUUUUUUAUUUAUUUUUAUUUUUAUUUAUUGCUGGCACAGGCUUUCAGUUAAACUUCAGGUCCAUGCCUCAGUUGUCUGCUGGUUUCCUCUGAGGAGAGCUCAGUUAGUCAGCCUGAACGCAGCUGCAUUCACGUGGUGCGAGGGGGUUUGAUAUUCCAGUCACACAACAGAGUAAACACUGCUCUCUUAUUCAAUAAACAUCAUUGAUAAGGACCCCAUAUCAAAGCCAUUUGAAAUACAAAAACUAAGCAUCAGCAUUUAUUUUUUACUUUGUUAAUGAAGACAUUGCAUUUAUUGUUGUUUACACAUAUAUUUUAGCCUGUAUCAUAAAUAGCCUUUAUUAAAAAAUGUUUUGUUUUUUUCUCUGAAAAUAAAUGUAUUGUGUAUUUUGUGAUUCUUAUGACUUAAUUAUAAAUUCUUGAAUCUAAAUGCAAUUAAAAUGUUUCAAAACUCUCA